AUUGAACGCUAGCGGGAUGCUUUACACAUGCAAGUCGAACGGCAGCGCGGACUUCGGUCUGGCGGCGAGUGGCGAACGGGUGAGUAAUGUAUCGGAACGUGCCCAGUAGCGGGGGAUAACUACGCGAAAGCGUAGCUAAUACCGCAUACGCCCUACGGGGGAAAGCAGGGGAUCGUAAGACCUUGCACUAUUGGAGCGGCCGAUAUCGGAUUAGCUAGUUGGUGAGGGAACGGCUCACCAAGGCGACGAUCCGUAGCUGGUUUGAGAGGACGACCAGCCACACUGGGACUGAGACACGGCCCAGACUCCUACGGGAGGCAGCAGUGGGGAAUUUUGGACAAUGGGGGCAACCCUGAUCCAGCCAUCCCGCGUGUGCGAUGAAGGCCUUCGGGUUGUAAAGCACUUUUGGCAGGAAAGAAACGUCGCGGGCUAAUACCCCGUGGAACUGACGGUACCUGCAGAAUAAGCACCGGCUAACUACGUG
This 484-nucleotide ribosomal RNA is filed under the name uncultured bacterium. Its description in RNAcentral is "partial 16S ribosomal RNA". It matches the Rfam family "Bacterial small subunit ribosomal RNA", at positions 30 to 507 of the family's 1533-position model. The record is from RNAcentral.